CAUCAAAUAAAACAUUUUUAAGUCGAAGGAUUAGCCCUCUUAAAAACCGAUAAACUCGAUCGGCCUUUUUUUUGUUUAACAUGGUUUACGAAGAAACAAAAUGAAAUGCAAUUUCCACAUGUAGUUUCUUCACAAUAAAGCAGCCAGCCACUUGGCGGUGAUUUCCAACGCAAGAACUGGAUGAUCUGAUCGCUGUGACAGACUCUCCAACCCAUGUGCUGCUCUGGCAGAUUGUAGGCUACACUCAACCCUCUGCCCCGAAAGUCGACAAUCGUAUCUUCACACUUGUCAGUAUUUGUAAGUAGCUGCGUAUUCACUCCAUUAUUACAAUAACAUUAUUGUAUUAUAAUUCCAGUGCUUUGCUCUGUUUACUUUUGGCCCCAUCACAGUUGUCACUUACUCGCUAUUCUAUUAUUCACUUCCUCUCCCUCCCUUCUGUCAUGUGCUUUCAUUGGUUCAACUUCCGAGCAAAGAUCAAUUGGUUAUAAAUACAUGAAAUCUUCGUUCUUUCUAAACCUAACAUAGAUAGAACGAGAGAAACAGGAGCCGGCCUUUCAUUGGCGAAGAAAAAAGAGUAAGGUUUGAGGCGCACACUUGUUUGGUCCCAUCAAAACUUACCAAAGGAGUGAUGGUGCCACGCUGUGUGCGUCUAAAACGCUUAUUCUUUUCAGUAUGAUUUGUAGAAGCGAAGGAGGAUGAGUUUAUAACUUCUGUCAAAUGAAACGGUUAUGAGGCUGAACAGGUUUUAGUUUUUGCCGAUUUCAAGUGCUCAGUCACCUGCAAAUCUGCAACAGAGAUACAGAGAUGCUUGUCGGAUAUAUUAUACUUUGAAAGAGUGUUCUGUUCGAGCUGAAUUUUAGCAUAAAGUUUGAGUGGGUUCAGUUCCAUGAACUUAGAGAAACGAUAAGGUUGUUCGGUUAAGUCCAAUGAGAAAAGUCCAGAGAAUGGAGUUAUAUUAUACUUUGAAUAUAGCGGCCUUUCCACUUU
This is a long non-coding RNA of Pistacia vera, 987 nucleotides long. RefSeq lists it as uncharacterized. The transcript is spliced from 2 exons. The record is from RefSeq and is a predicted model, not a curated record. NCBI's taxonomy places the organism in Eukaryota, Viridiplantae, Streptophyta, Magnoliopsida, Sapindales, Anacardiaceae.